RNAcentral lists this ribosomal RNA (962 nucleotides) under Chabertia ovina (large-mouth bowel worm). Its description in RNAcentral is "large subunit ribosomal RNA". The record is from RNAcentral. Lineage: Eukaryota; Metazoa; Nematoda; Chromadorea; Rhabditida; Strongylidae.
AUUAAAUUUUUUUAUUAGUUGGUAUUGCAUAUCAUUUAAAGAAAAUUUUAUAUUUAAUAAAAAAUAGAAUUAAAAGGUAGAAAAUGUAUUUUUUUUAUUGUUUCAUAAUAAAAAUUAUAUUUUUUAGGGUUGAAAAGUCGACUUUUAAGAUUUCUGUGUAAUGUUUUAAAAUUAGAAAUUUAUUAUUUAAAAGUUAUUUUAGUUAUAAAUAGUAAAAGUUGAAGUAUUUAUUAUUUUAGUUUUAUAACAGUUUAUAAAUUUUGUAGCUGUAGUUGGUUAUUUUUAGUAAUAAUUUUAUAUUAUUUUUAUUAUUUUAAAAUUAGUAAAUGUUUAAAAAUAUUAUUUAAUGUAUUUAAUAUAAUAAAAAAACUAAAUAGUUAAUCAAAUGUUUUUUAAAGACUUAGACUUUCAGGUAAAGUUUGCUUCUGCCCAGUGAUUAUUUUUAAAUGGCAGUCUUAGCGUGAGGACAUUAAGGUAGCAAAAUAAUUUGUGCUUUUAUUGGGUUCCAGUAUGAAUGAAGUUAUUGGUUAAUUUAUUUUUUAGUUUUUUUAUUGAAUUUUUUUCAGUAAUAAAAAGUUAUUGUUGUAACAAAACAAAGAUAAGUCUUCGGAAAUUUUAUUUUUAGAAUAAUAACAGUUGUUUUAAAAAGUUUUCUAGGGCAGAAUUUUAUAUAAUAAUUUAAAUCUAUUAAUAAUUUUAAAAAUUACUCCGGAGUUAACAGAAAAUCAUACCUAAUCUAGUUCUUAUAGUAAGGUAAGUUUUACAUCGAUGUUGUAUUUAAGUUUAUUAAAAAGGAGAAAUUUUAAUUUUUAAGACUGUUCUUCUUUUAAUUAAUUUAACGUGAUAUUAGUUUAAUUCAUUGUGAGAUAGAAUUGUUUAUCUUGUUUGUUAUUGGGUUAUAGUUUUAAUAGUACGAAAGGAAAAUUAAAAAAAGUUUUAAACUUUUAAAGAGUUAAUUCUCA